This 264-nucleotide ribosomal RNA is filed under the name Pelobates cultripes (western spadefoot toad). RNAcentral's name for it is "SSU_rRNA_microsporidia". It matches the Rfam family "Eukaryotic small subunit ribosomal RNA", at positions 186 to 434 of the family's 1831-position model. The record is from RNAcentral. Lineage: Eukaryota; Metazoa; Chordata; Amphibia; Anura; Pelobatidae.
AUUGGGACAUAUAAAAAAAGACAGCUCUGUUCCGCAGAGUAGCUGCUGACAUUAUAGUUGCGCAGAAACUUUGUUGACUCUAGAGAACCUCGGGCAAAUCGCACAUCCCUGUGGCGGCGACUUUGCAUGUGGAUGUCAUCCAUAUCAACUUUCGAUGCCAGUUUCUGCGCCUACCAUGGUGACCACGGGUAACGGGGAAUCAGGGUUCCAUUCCGUACAGGGACCCUGAGAAACGGCUACCACAUGCAAGGAAGGCAGCAGGCG